UAGGGAAUUUUCGGCAAUGGACGAAAGUCUGACCGAGCAAUGCCGCGUGAACGAAGAAGUAUUUCGGUAUGUAAAGUUCUUUUAUUAGGGACGAAAAAACAAAUUGACGGUACCUAAUGAAUAAGCUCCGGCUAACUACGUGCCAGCAGCCGCGGUAAUACGUAGGGAGCGAGCGUUAUCCGGAAUUAUUGGGCGUAAAGGGUGCGUAGAUGGCACAUUAAGUUUUCUGUAAAAAUGCUAGGCUCAACCUAGUAGGGCAGAAAAUACUGAUGAGCUAGAGUACGACAGAGGCAAGUGGAACUCCAUGUGUAGCGGUAAAAUGCGUAAAUAUAUGGAAGAACACCAGUGGCGAAGGCGGCUUGCUAGGUCGAUACUGACAUUGAGGCACGAAAGCGUGGGGAGCAAACAGGA
This 411-nucleotide ribosomal RNA is filed under the name uncultured bacterium. RNAcentral's name for it is "bacterial SSU rRNA". It matches the Rfam family "Bacterial small subunit ribosomal RNA", at positions 355 to 777 of the family's 1533-position model. The record is from RNAcentral.